GACGAACGCUGGCGGCGUGCUUAACACAUGCAAGUCGAACGGAAAGGCCCCUUUGGGGGUACUCGAGUGGCGGACGGGUGCGUAACACGUGAGUAACCUGCCCUUGACUUCGUGAUAACUUCAGUAAACUGGGGCUAAUACCGGAUAGGAAUCCUUGCUGCAUGGUGGGGGUUGGAAAGCUUCGGCGGUUUUGGAUGGACUCGCGGCUUAUCGGCUUGUUGGUGGGGUAGUGGCUUACCAAGGCUUUGACGGGUAGCCGGCCUGAGAGGGCGACCGGCCACAUUGAGACUGAGAGACGGCCCAGACGCCGACGGGAGGCAGCAGUGGGGAAUAUUGAACAAUGGGCGGCAGCCUGAUGCAGCAAGGCCGCGUGCGGGAUAACGGUCUUCGGGCUGUAAAACGCUUUCAGCAGGGGCGAAGCUUGUGGUGACGGUACCUGCAGAAGAAGCACCGGCUAACUACGUG
This 465-nucleotide ribosomal RNA is filed under the name uncultured bacterium. Its description in RNAcentral is "partial 16S ribosomal RNA". It matches the Rfam family "Bacterial small subunit ribosomal RNA", at positions 28 to 507 of the family's 1533-position model. The record is from RNAcentral.